RNAcentral lists this ribosomal RNA (422 nucleotides) under uncultured bacterium. RNAcentral describes it as "partial 16S ribosomal RNA". It matches the Rfam family "Bacterial small subunit ribosomal RNA", at positions 360 to 774 of the family's 1533-position model. The record is from RNAcentral.
AAUAUUGGACAAUGGGCGAAAGCCUGAUCCAGCCAUGCCGCGUGUGUGAAGAAGGUCUUCGGAUUGUAAAGCACUUUAAGUUGGUAGGAAGGGCAGUAAGUUAAUACCUUGCUGUUUUGACGUUACCGACAGAAUAAUCACCGGCUAACUUCCUGCCAGCAGCCGUGGUAAUACGAAGGGUUCAACCGUUAAUCGGAAUUACUGGUCGUAAAGCGCGCGUAGGUGGUUUGUUAAGUUGGAAGUGAAAGCCCCGGGCUCAACCUGGGAACUGCAUUCAAAACUGGCAAGCUAGAGUAUGGCAGAGGGUGGUGGAACUUCCUGUGUAGCGGUGAAAUGCGUAGAUAUAGGAAGGAACACCAGUGGCGAAGGCGACCACCUGGGCUAAUACUGACACUGAGGUGCGAAAGCGUGGGGAGCAAACA